ACACUAGCACCAACACCAAAUCCCAGUACUCCUUGCAGCCCCUCCUAGUCUCCCAUCCCAUCAUCUCACAUCCAAUAGAGGACUGUGAGGGGGCGAAAUGGUUUUUUAAGUAGGAGAACAGUAUGAAAAGCAGCUGUGUCUCACCUUGCUCUCCUUAUGGGGAUGGAGAGUAACUCCAAGACAAGUGGAAGGAGCUGGGCCUGGAGAGAAUCAUCUGUACAACAUGGGAAUGUCUUCGAGAGGGGUAGGCUGGCAUUUCAACUGCUGGUUGGGGCUAGAGAAAGAACCCUUGGAGAGAUGAUUAAGAGAGAUGACCAGAUAAGGAGGAGGCAAAAACCAUCCCUUCACACAUCUUAUUCCUAGAGAUAAUUGACAAUAGGCUCCCAUGGAAGUCUUCUGUGCAUUUCUGCAAAAAUUUAGGAAACAUUAGGUUUGACACCAUCAUCAUGUUUGCCAAGGCAGCAAAAAUCCCAGCCGGCAAAGCUUCAAGUGUGAUGAAGCGGAACAGCAAGGACAGCACGGAAUGACUGAUCAUUUCAGAAUGCCGUCUAGCGAGAGUUUCCAAUGUGGGAGUUUUCCAUUGUUUUGAAGCAGGAGAAAUAGGGACCGGCUGCUUUGGAAGAAACAUGCUGGGUCUGCCCCUACUACGAACUUAUGAGGGUUGAGGAGAAAUUACGUUUUUCCCCCAGCAAGUGUUCAAAUGAGAAAUGAGGAAAUGUGGACACAGAGAAACACCAGGGAUGCUCACACGCAGAGGACAGACCACGGGAAGGCACAGCAAGAAUGUGGCCGUCUGCAAGCCAAGGAGAGAAGCCUCAAGAGAAACCAACCUGCCCUUGAUCUUGGACCUCCACCCUCCAGAACUCUCCCAGCUUCCCCACGGCUUCUGGUAAGGACUCAGCCUCAGAGGGGGAGAAGAGCAGAGGCUGGUUCUCCCUUUGGCUUGUGCAUAGUUUUCCACAGAUUUAACAUGAAGCAAAAGUGACCUGGAAUCUUUUCUCCUUUUAUUGCCAAAAUGCAAAGAAAAGAGUCUUUAGCUCUCAGAAAAAGACUACAUUUAAGAGUGAAAAUAAGAAAAUGUGGGAGUUUGAGGAAAAGUAUCAUCAGCUGUCAAAUGUCAUGAAUGCGCAGUCUUGGUCAAUGGGCCACAUGACCCAAAACUCAUUAUCCUCCCCAAAGCCACCAAUAUCAAUACAUGCACCAAAUGCAUCGACGCAAUAGUUUUCUACCUUGGCCUGUCAAUGAAGUUAUUGAAACUAAA
Long non-coding RNA from Homo sapiens (human), 1261 nucleotides. The record is from Ensembl. NCBI's taxonomy places the organism in Eukaryota, Metazoa, Chordata, Mammalia, Primates, Hominidae.